This is a long non-coding RNA of Spinacia oleracea (spinach), 1307 nucleotides long. RefSeq lists it as uncharacterized. The record is from RefSeq and is a predicted model, not a curated record. Lineage: Eukaryota; Viridiplantae; Streptophyta; Magnoliopsida; Caryophyllales; Amaranthaceae. The transcript is spliced from 5 exons.
ACCCACCGGCGGGAUUCAUGAACCUCAAUUAAUAAAAGGUGUUUUCGUUAUGCUGAGAUAAUCGGUGAGUUCGAAAAGAAGGGCGUUCUCAUCAAGAGGAAAAAAAAGAAGUUAUUAUUGUGAUUUAUUAUUCGAAAAAGCAAAUUUGUAAAGCAAAAUUGAAAACCAGAGUAUGAAUAUAAAUAUUUCAGUGAAAUAUAUCUCUAUUAUAUAAGCCAGCUCCUGAGGGUAUUUAAGUAAAUUAACUUUUCGUGUCCACCAUUUAAAUGUCUAAAAUACCCUCCAGCUCUUCACAAUCUCAUAUUACAAUAAUUCUGAUUAUUUACUAUUUUAAAAAACGAAUUGAUUGUUGAUUUUAAAAACUGAAUCUAUUUUUGGCUAAUUAGUUUAAACGUUUAUGGAGAUAUUUCAAUAAAUGUUAAUCAGGAAAUCAGGCAAGGAAUAUAACAAAGAAAUGGGAAGAAUCAUGUUAUUUUGAAAUCUUUCACAAAACAGAAAAAUCAGUAAAAAAAAAAAGUCAAAAUACAAAGCAAAUAAGGAAAUAUCAUCCAUAAAUACAGCCAAGAAAUAUACAUAUAAAAUCAACCAAGAAAUGACGCAUUAAUCUUAUUACAAAUUGUUACAAAUCAAAUCAGAAAAACUCCAGAAGAACUCCAUCACCGUUCUUCAAGUCGCCCCGAUACAGAUUUCAAAAUAUAAGAUUUCAAAGUAUAAGGUAUGUAAUAUAAUAUGCAUGCUUUAUUGAUUUUAAUAAAUUAUUUCAUAUUUUAAUUCAUGCUUAAUUCAUAUUUUAUUCAUGAUUUUAAUUCAUGUUUAUUUUUUAUGCAGAUUUCAAAAAGGUAUGCUUUAUUGAUUUUAAUUAAUUAUUUCAUAUUUUAAUCUCUUACUUGAUUUUAAUAUCUAAUUGCAUAUUUCAAAAUAUAAGACAUAACAUAAAUUUGUGUUAUUGGAAGUAUGAAUUGAAAAAUACAUGACUUGCAUCGGAUUUUAUGCAGAUUUUAAUUUUGGUUUUAAGUUCAUAACGAGAUACAAUAACCAACGAGUUACGGAUUUUAUUUUUGUUUUAAGUUCGAAGUUGAUUUGGUUGUUAAGUUCGUCAAGGCAUACAAUAAACCGACAUAAGGGUGACGGAGUAUCAUUAUACACCCUUUAUGCAUUUAUUUCCUAGCGGUGUACGACGAUAUGAUGUACGAGCUCGAUUGAUUCGUAAUUAAUUAUGAUGUUUUCAAUUACACUAAUCCAUGAACAACUAAGAAAAUUUGUAAUUGCUUUUUUCAAUUUCGGAGUAAGUGUUUUAUAUUAGUCAA